This 28-nucleotide small RNA is filed under the name Bombyx mori (domestic silkworm). Its description in RNAcentral is "ovarian small RNA-32164". Lineage: Eukaryota; Metazoa; Arthropoda; Insecta; Lepidoptera; Bombycidae. The record is from RNAcentral.
UGAGAGUGUGAUACCUGCGAUGUGGGUC